GGGGCCGGGUUAGGGUUACCGGGGCGGGGCCGGGUCAGGGGGCGGGGCCGGGUUAGGGUUACCGGGGCGGGGCCGGGUCAGGGGGCGGGGCCGGGUUAGGGUUAUCAGGGCGGAGCCGGGUAAAGGGACACCCCUGGGUUAGGGUUAGUGGGGCGGAGCCGGGUAAGGGGGCGGGGCCAGGUUAGGGUUAUUGGGGAGGAGCCGGGUAAGGGGGCGGGGCCGGGUUAGGGUUAUCAGGGCGGGGCCAGGUAAGGGGGCGGGGCCAGGUUAGGGUUAUCGGGGCGGGGCCGGGUAAAGGGACACCCCUGGGUUAGGGUUAUCGGGGCGGGGCCGGGUCAGGGGGCGGGGCCGGGUUAGGGUUACCGGGGCAGAGCCGGGUAAAGGGACACCCCUGG
Gopherus flavomarginatus (Mexican gopher tortoise) is the source of this 395-nucleotide long non-coding RNA. RefSeq lists it as uncharacterized. NCBI's taxonomy places the organism in Eukaryota, Metazoa, Chordata, Testudines, Testudinidae. The transcript is spliced from 3 exons. The record is from RefSeq and is a predicted model, not a curated record.